Long non-coding RNA from Haliotis rubra (blacklip abalone), 868 nucleotides. RefSeq lists it as uncharacterized. Lineage: Eukaryota; Metazoa; Mollusca; Gastropoda; Lepetellida; Haliotidae. The record is from RefSeq and is a predicted model, not a curated record. The transcript has 3 exons.
CGGGUACGUAUGGCUACCUGUGUGGAUACAGCUGUCACUGUCAGGCUAACACGUGUAACGUUACAGAUGGAUGCAGAUCUCAGGCUUGCAUCAAAGGAUGGUCAGGACCAACAUGCCAGAAAAAUAACAAAGCACUCGAUAAGCCGACAUCGGCCAGCAGUACCUCUAUGGCAGCAGGUAACGCUGUAGACGGAAACACCAUAGCGAACGACUAUCGCUACUGCUUUCAUUCAGCAUACAAUGACGGUAUAAACGUUGCGUGGUGGAGAGUGGAUCUGAAUAAGACAACACCGAUACAUGACGUCACCAUAUACUUCCGGACAGACUAUAAGGUUCGUCGGAAUGGUAUCCAGGUCUACAUAGCUGACACUGCCGCUUCCGCAACUAAUGGAGUCAACUGCUACAACGUGACAGGGAAGGGAGACGGAUCAGACAUACUUGAUGUUUUGAACGUCACGUGUUCUGGUAAAGGGCGUUAUCUGGUCCUGUACACCACUACAAUAAACAAUGGUGACGCUGUACCCAUUUUGGAUUUCUGCGAAGUGCAGGUUGACGGUAGGGAUCAUGUUGAAUGCCACAUUUUAUUCAUAUCCGAUUUUGAUCAUUCACACGUUAGCCGUGAAUAUCUUAACUUGCCGUUCCUAAUCGCGAUGUUUUGAACCCGACGUGUUCCUAUUCGAGUUUUGUAGUUAAAAAAUCACCGACAUUAUCAUUAUCAACUUGUCCAUUAUGGACUUCUGUGAAAUGGAUGGCAACUGGACUAAUGAUGUCUCUCAUCUGUAUAUUGAGGUGACAAACAUGUUGUGGUUUCAAUGACGGGCUGUGAUGUUAAAUGUAAAUCUUACUAUCGAAAAAUCGAAUUGUGACC